Molecule: small nucleolar RNA, 70 nt
Filed under: Myotis lucifugus (little brown bat)
Lineage: Eukaryota; Metazoa; Chordata; Mammalia; Chiroptera; Vespertilionidae
Description: Small nucleolar RNA SNORD112 (ENSMLUG00000026259.1)
Source: RNAcentral
UGGAUCAACGAUGAGAGUGUCAUGAACCAAGGAUUAUGAUUAAUUCAAUUCUGUUCACCUGAGCUCCCCC